AGAGUUGAUCAUGGCUCAGGACGAACGCUGGCGGCGUGCCUAACACAUGCAAGUCGAACGAAGCACUUCCUCGGAGAUUCGUCGAAGAGGGAUUUGACUUAGUGGCGGACGGGUGAGUAAUACAUGAGCAACCUGCCCCGAGGUGGGGGACAACAGUUGGAAACGACUGCUAAUACCGCAUGAUGUAGCGGGAGGGCAUCCUCCUGUUACCAAAGAUUUAUCGCCAUGGGAUGGGCUCAUGUCUGAUUAGCUUGUUGGUGGGGUAACGGCCUACCAAGGCUGCGAUCAGUAGCCGGACUGAGAGGUUGAACGGCCACAUUGGGACUGAGAUACGGCCCAGACUCCUACGGGAGGCAGCAGUGGGGAAUAUUGGGCAAUGGGCGAAAGCCUGAACCCCCAGCAACGCCGCGUGAAGGAAGAAGGCCUUCGGGUUGUAAACUUCUUUUAUGAGGGACGAAGGACGUGACGGUACCUCAUGAAUAAGCCACGGCUAACUACGUGCCAGCAGCUGC
This 512-nucleotide ribosomal RNA is filed under the name uncultured bacterium. RNAcentral's name for it is "bacterial SSU rRNA". It matches the Rfam family "Bacterial small subunit ribosomal RNA", at positions 8 to 518 of the family's 1533-position model. The record is from RNAcentral.